UACGGGGGGGGCAAGCGUUGUUCGGAAUUACUGGGCGUAAAGGGCUCGUAGGCGGCCAACUAAGUCAGACGUGAAAUCCCCAGGCUUAACCUGGGAACUGCGUCUGAUACUGGAUGGCUUGAGAUUGGGAGAGGGAUGCGGAAUUCCAGGUGUAGCGGUGAAAUGCGUAGAUAUCUGGAGGAACACCGGUGGCGAAGGCGACAUCCUGGACCAACACUGACGCUGAGGAGCGAAAGCCAGGGGAGCAAACAGG
RNAcentral lists this ribosomal RNA (253 nucleotides) under uncultured bacterium. RNAcentral's name for it is "partial 16S ribosomal RNA". It matches the Rfam family "Bacterial small subunit ribosomal RNA", at positions 524 to 776 of the family's 1533-position model. The record is from RNAcentral.